UAUUUUCAGUUUGAAGAUCUGCUAUUGAUAUUUAUUUGAUUCAUGGUCCAUAUAAUUAAUUACUAUACAUUCUAUAGGUGAGUGAACAUUAUAUUUAUAUAUUGGACAUUUGAUGAUUUAUUUUAUCAAUUGAAACUCAGAAAUAUAUUGUAAAUUUUAAAUGUUAAGGCCCUAGGGGUAAAUUCAGUAAAAAAUCUCCCAUUGACUUUAAUGCUAAUCUAUGUGUGGAAAUAAAUUUAUACCUGAUUACCUUAGAAAUUAAAUUCUUCAUAUAUCAUUCAUGAAAGUACAUGUAGCCCUAUCUUUUGCAACAAUAAAAACAUAGGGUCUGCGCAUUUUUGGGCAUUCACAUGGCUUGUUUACAAACAAUGUAGAUUCGCACUGAAUUCUAUACUGACCCCCAUUACUUUUCAAACCCUGAAGGGGAAAAAUUAGUACAUUCAGCAUAUAUUUUUUAUUUUUUUUUCAACUCUAGUUUGUCCAUCUACCAAAAAUAUUUAUUACAAAACAUUAUCUGCCAAUCAGAAGAGCAUAUAACUUCAGUGUUAUACAGAAAGCUCUCCCCUAAAUGGGCGGUCCCUGAUGACGUAUAUUUAUUUACUGAAUUUACCCCUAUAAGGGACUUUUUUACUUCUUUUCAACUUUUUUGUAAAAACAUGUAAUGUAUCCAAUUUCCAAGUUCCAGUUCAAUACAACCUUAUAAAUGCGAAUGUAAAGAUAGAGCAAAAUUUAUACUACGCCAUACUGCGGCCAUGUAUAUUUGGUAUAUAAAGUGCGCAUUGACUUUUUUAAAAGAAUGGUGUAAUACAGUAUAUAAUCGUAUUCUAAAUCCAUGAAGUAUGUCUAUUCUAUUGUUUGUCUCCAAAGUCGAUGACUCAAGUUUUGCAGUUUCCAUACUACAAACUUAUACAAUCUGGGUACGUAAUUUGGAUGUGUUUCUCUCCGAAUAUUUGCCCAAAUAGGUGGGUUUGCGACUGAAUAGGCCAUGAAAAAGAUAUCAAAUAGAUUAUUCCAAAACUUUUGGAUAGACAGCUAUUCUAUAACCCAUAAAAAUCAACGAAUUCAUUGCUUACGUGAAAUGUAUCAUAAACUGCUUUAAUAUUCUUUUAUCGACGUUAUAAAAAAAUGUCUCAUGGGCAAUAUCAGUUUCUGCAGACUUUAUUCUACUACUUUACGCUCAAAAAAAUAAUCAUGAUAAUGUUUUUUUCCCAAAUAUACAUAUAGGAUAAUAUUGAAUGUGAGAAAGGAUAUAUGCCACAUUCCCACAAUAUAAAAAUGCAAUAAGCUUUCUAGGUAUGACCAUACCAAUAUUUGACAUUAAUUUGUGAAUUGUAUUGCAUUUACAGGAAAUGAGUUUUUGUGAUUAUUGUGUGGCCUUGGACAAGUAACAGUGAAAAAGUGCAUAUUUUACUAUAGGGGUAAAUUCAGUAAAAAAAUUUCCCAUUGACUUUAAUGCUAAUCUAUGUGUGGAAAUAAAUUUAUACCUGAUUUCCUUUACAAAUUAAAUUCUUUCAUAUAUCAUCAUGAAAGUACAACAUGUAGCCCCUCUUUUGCAACAAUAAAAAACAUAGGGUCAUGCGGCAUUUUUGGGCAUUCAAAUGGCCUUGUUUACAAACAAUGUAGAUUCGCACUGAAUUCCUAUACUGACCCCCAUUAUUUUUCAACCCUGAAGGGAAAAAAAUAGUACAUUUAGAAUAUACUUUUUAUUUUUUUCAACUCUAGUUUUGAUCCAUCUACCUAAAAAUAUUUAUUACAAACAUUAUCUGACAAUUAGAAGACCAUAUACUUCAGUGUUAUACAGAAAGCUCUCCCCUAAAUGGGCGGUCCCUGAUGACGUAUAUUUAUUUACUGAAUUUACCCCUCUAAGUAGCAUUGCACCAGUCUUUGUAUUAAAUGGGAGAUAAUCCAGAGCUGGCACAUUCAUUCUAAGUAGCAUUACACAGUGUUUGUCAUAAAGGGGAAUAACCAGACCUGCGCAUCAUUCUACGUAGCAUUACACAGUGUUGUAUUAAAAGGGGAUAAUCCAGCGCUGGCGCAUUCAUUCUAAGUAGCAUUACACCAGUCUUUGUAUUAAGGGGGAGAUAAUCCAGAGGUGACACUUUCAUUCUAAGUAGCAUUACACCAGUGUUUGUUUUAUUUAAGGGGAGAUAAUCCAGAGCUGGCGCAUUAAUUCUAAGUAGCAUUACACCAGUGUUUUUAUACGACCUCAAAAAGUGAAAAUUUUUUGGUCUUAUAUUGGUAUCACGUUGGCGUCAGCGUCGUCGUCGUCGUCGUCUGAAUACUUUUGGUUUUCGCAGCUAUAAUUAAGUUUAAAGUAAAUAGAAAUCGUGAAAUUUUAACACAAGGUUAGACCAACAAAAGAAGGUUCGAUAUUUUGGAAGUUUUGGUCCACCAGUAAGAAUUAGGGCCAAAAAUGGCCCAAUAAGCAUUUUCUUGGUUUGCACUAUACACUUUAGUUUAAGUAAAUAGAAAUCUAUGAACUUUUGACACAAGGUUAUGACCCUAAGGAAGGCGUGAUUGAUUCUGCAGUUUUGGUUCAACUGUUUAGGAAAUAAGGGGCCAAAAAAAAGGGCCCAAAAUACGCUUAUUCUUGUUUUUGCAACAGUAACUUUAGUAUAAAAAAUAGAAAUCAUGAAUUUAACACCAAAGGUUAUGAACACAGAAGAAGGUUUGGGAUUGAUUUUGGAGUUGAGAUCCCUACAGCUUAGGAAUUAGGGGCCCAAAUAAGCUUUUUCUGGUUUUUGCACCAUAACUUUAGCACCAUAAUUAAUAUAGAAAUAUAUAUGAAAUUUAAACACAAUGUUUAUGACCAUUAAAGGAAAGUUGGGAUUGAUUUUGGGAGAUUUGGUCCCAAGUUCCCAACAGUUAAGGAAUAGCCCAAAGGGUCCAAAAUUAAACUUUGUUUGAUUUCAUCAAAAAUUGAAUAAUUGGGUUCUUUGAUCAUGUUGAUAUGCCGAAUCUAACUGUGGUAUGUAGAUUUUGAUUUUUUGUCCGUUUUCAAUUGGUCUACAUUAAGGUCCAAAGGUCCAAAUUAAACCUUAGUUUGAUUUUAACAAAUUGAAUCCUUCGGUCUUUGAUAUGCUUAUCUAAAAAUGUAGUAGCGUUUUUUAUAGGCCCAGUUUUCAAGUUGGUCCAAAUAAGGGUCCAAAAUUAAACUUUGUUCGAUUUCAUCAAAAAUUGAAUAAUUGGGGUUCUUUGAUAUGCUAAAUCUAAUUGUGUAUGUAGAUAAUUUCUUAAUUGUUGGUCCCGUUUUCAAAUUGGUCUACAUUAAAGUCCAAAGGGUCCAAAAUUAAACUAAGUUUGAUUUUAACUGAAAUUGAAUUCUUGGGCUUCUUUGAUAUGCUGAAUCUAAAAAUGUACUUAGAUUUUUGAUUAUGGGCCCAGUUUUCAAGUUAGUCCAAAUCAGGAUCCAAAAUUAUUAUAUUAAAUAUUGUGCAAUAGCAAGAAAUUUUCAAUUGCACAGUAUUCAGCAAUAGCAGGAAAUCUUCAAUUGCAUAGUAUUGUACAAUAGCCAGAAAUUUUCAAUUGCACAGUAUUGCGCAAUAGCAAGAAAUCUUCAAUUGCACAGUAUUGUGCAAUAGCAAGUAUUUUCAAUUGCACAGUAUUGCACAAUAGAAAGAAAUAUUUAAUUGCACAAUAUUGCGGCAAUAGCAAGAAAUUUUCAAUUGGAGUUAUCUUUCUUUGUCCAGAAUAGUAGUUGUAUCAACUUAAAUCAUUGUUUUAUACAAUAUACAAUGUAUAUUCACUUUUACUACCAACUGAUAAAUUAAAACAAUCUUUACCAUUCAGUGAUAACAAACACUUUUUUUCUCAAUUUUUCUCAUUUAACAUUUUUUUGAGAUGAUUAAUAUUCAACAGCAUAGUGAAUUGCUCAAAGGCAAAAAACAAAUUUUAAAGUUUAUUAGACCACAUUCAUUCUGUGUCAGAAACCUAUGCUGUGUCAACUAUUUAAUCACAAUCCAAAUUUAGAGCUGAAUCCAGCUUGAAUGUUGUGUCCAUACUUGCCCCAACCGUUAAGGGUUCAACCUCUGCGGUCGUAUAAAGCUGCGCCCUGCGGAGCAUCUGGUUAAUGUUGUUGGAACAAGAUUAACACAACUUGUAUUCAGCAGCUGUUGUAUAAGGGGAGAUCUAGACAAAAAAUAAAAUGACAUAAUUCCAAAAUUAAUUGCAUUUGGGAGUUGAUCGAAGCUUAAUUAAACAUUGCAAGCAUUACAAAUAGAGAUGUAAACUAAGAAAUCAAUUGUUGUUUAUGAUUGUAAGAUGGGAGGUCUUUGUCAAUGAGACAGCAAACAAUCAACAAAAGAGGUCAACAUUUUAUUUAAAAUAGAUUAGUGUCUGUAACGUGUUGUUUUUAUUUCAUUUAUAUUUUCAGUUUGAACGUCAUCUAUAAUGUCUAUUAUCGAUAUUUAUUUGAUAAUUGUCCAGUCCUUGGGAUCAUUGAAUGUAGAAUUUUAACUCUGACAGGGGCAAUAAUUAACAGAUAUCAUAUAUUUCACAUUCAAAAUAUCAUAACACCUGUCUUUUUAUAGUAAACAAGACACUAAAAACAAAGAAUGCAUCUUGUAAAAGUAAAGGUUAAGAGGCCUAUACCAAUGAGACAGCAACCAAUCAAUGAAAGAGGUCAAAAUGGAAUCAAACAAUAGACAUGAUAGACAAGCAUCUUUAUAACAUGUUAAUAAUUAUUUCAACCUAAAAUAGAAACAUUCUCAUUUUAUACAUCUAUCAUCAGUAUUCAUUCACAUGCUGUCGAUUUGAUCCCGGUCACGUCAAGUUGAUCCUUGUCCAGUCAAGUUGAUCCUUGCCCCAUUUGAUCCUUGUCCAGUCAAGUUGUGUCCUUGUCCAGUCAAGUUGAUCCUUGUCCAGUGGAUUUGAUCCUCUGUCCAGUGUGAUUUGAUCCCUGUCCAGUCAAGUUGAUCCUUGUCCAGUCAACUUGAUCUCUGUCCAGUCAGACUGUUGUUAUAGGUAAGUACUUCAUAUGUUAACUAUAUAGGAUCAUUUACUACUGAAAUUUAAUUCUAAUGUAAAAUAUUCAAACUCUAUAAGGGGAGAUAAUCAAGAAAUAGUUUGAACAUUCAAAAUACCCAAAACCAAUACAUUAUAGUAAACAAGACGCACAAAUCAAAUUGUAUUGCAACGUUUAAUGAUUUAUUUUAUCAACAGUCUUCACGCUUAACCACAAGUCCUAUGACCAUGAUGACCCAGGCUUGUAAAAUUGCUUGGAGGCUUGUACAUUUCUUCUCUACAAGCCGACAGAAGACAACUAAAAGUUUUAAAAAAUUGAGCUUAGGGCUUGUGGACUCAAACUUUAUCGUGGAGACUGUAUCGAUUGAAACUCGGAAAUAUAUUGAAAUUUUAAAUGUGAAAAUUCUUAAAGGGGAGAUAAUCCAGAGCUAUAGGAUUCAUUCUAAAAAAGCAUUAAACAAGUGUUUUUAUUAAUUCUUUUUGAAAAAGAUUAACAUUUUGCAUUCUGCAGCUUUUGUACAAGGGGAGACAAAAAAUAAAAUGACAUAAUUCCAAAAUUAAUUGCAUUUGGGAGUUGAAACUUAUUAAACAUUGCACAUUGUUGCAAGCAUUACAAAUAGAGUUGUUAACUAAGAAAUCAAAAUGUGUUUUAUGAUUGUAAGAUGGGAGGUCUAUGUCAAUGAGACAGCAACCAAUCAACAAAAGAGGUCAAAAUGGUUUUUAACAAUAGACAAGUGUCUGUAACCUGUUUUUAUUUCAUUUAUAUUUUCAGUUUUAACAUCUAUAAUGUCUAUUAUUAAUUUUUAUUUGAUCAUUGUCCAGUCCUCGUAAUUAUUGUCCAGUUCUUGUGGAUCAUUGACUGUCCAGUCAAUUUAAUGCUUGUCCAGUUGAGUUGUUAUUAUAGUUAAGUGCACAUUGUAUGUGAACUAUAUACAAUCAUUUAUAUUUAUUAUUGAAAUUUAUUUCAAAAGAGUUGAAUUUUAACUCUGACAGGGGAGAUAAUUAACAAUAUAUUUUACUUUUAAAAUAUCACAAGACCUGUGUUUUUAUACAGUAAACAAGACAUCUAUAAUACUAAAAUUACGAGGUCCAAUUUGUCAGCCGUCAUCACGUAAAAACGUAAAAACGACGAAUCAAAGAAUUCAGCUUUAUAUAUAACUAAUAUAGUACAAAGGUGUAGAUUAAAAAUUACACCACUCAAGGCCCUUUUGUUUUCCACGUAAUUAAUAUUGCCAAUCAUUAAGAAGUUCCGGGUCGAGUCCGAUACCGAUACCAAUAGUAUAUUCACCUGUUACCUAUCCUUAUCUGUACGUUCUGCAUCUAACAGGUGCACCACCAAACGGUGUAUUUAGGAUUAUGCUAUAUACACGGAUCAUAAUCACAGGGUUGACACUACUAAAUUCAAUCAUUGUCAAAUUGUUACCUAAUUGUAGUAUUUUAAUCAGUAAGACUUUCUAAGAUAACAAUACGAAUACUAAAAAUCUGGACUAAAAAUAAGGUGUAUAUAGGAACCGUUUUCAAUUCGUUAGCGGGCAUGACAUAAAACAGUGAAUCAAAGAAUUCAACUUUAUUUAUAACUAACAUAGGACAAUGCUGUUGAUUAAAAAAUACUCCAUUCCAGGACCUUUUGUUAUCCAAAUAAUUAAUAUUACCAAUAAUUGAUAAGUUCCAGUUCGAUGGGUUCAAACAGAAAGAUUUGAAAGCAGAGAAAACUGUGUAUCUUAUAAUCGGCAUGACUUUAUCAGAUAAAAAAUAAUACUAAAAUAAGGCUGCGCAGUAAACAAGCGAUAUCACGGUGUGUUCUAGUUAAAACAAAGAAUGCAUCCUGUAUGAGUGAAGGUUUAGAGGCCUAUAUCAAUGAGACAGCAACCAAUCAAUAAAAGAGGUCAAACAAUACACAAGCAUCUUUAUUACAUGCAUUUAUUAUUUCAACCUGAAAUAGAAACAUUUAUAUUCUCAUUUUAAGCAUCUGUCAUCUGUAUUUAUUUGAUCCUUGUCUGGUCAAGUUGAUCCCUGUCCUGUCGAUGUGAUCCCUGUCCAGUCAAGUUGAUCCCUGUCCUGUCAAGAUGAUGUUAUAG
Molecule: long non-coding RNA, 7040 nt
Filed under: Mytilus galloprovincialis (Mediterranean mussel)
Lineage: Eukaryota; Metazoa; Mollusca; Bivalvia; Mytilida; Mytilidae
Source: RNAcentral